UGGGGACGUCGCAGCCUCCCCGUUAAAUGGCCACCCCAUUCAAGCGCUGC
RNAcentral lists this non-coding RNA (50 nucleotides) under unclassified sequences. Its description in RNAcentral is "chromate-resist RNA". It matches the Rfam family "chrB-b RNA". The record is from RNAcentral.